AUCGUUCCUUCACCUCCAAUGAUGGAUUCCGGGCUUGUGGGGGUCAAUUGACCCCUCUUGCCCCUAUGUGGAUCUGCCCCACCACUACAACGGAAAAAAUGGCAAUUGUCCUUUACACAAAGAAUCCGAUUGGAAAGAAGCUGGAUAUCAUAUGACCAUGGAGUGAGACUUCGUUUUCAGGCCACUUUUUGAGUGUUACACUCCAAAUAACAGGGUGCUUCCAGUUUUUGAUUGUGUACUGACAUUGAGUCAGACAAGUAGAAUAAUUUUGUUCAUUAUGUGCCAUUCAUAGAUGACAUUUGGAAUGUCGAGUGGUAUUUUUGCUUUUCCAGUGUUGUAUUAAUUUGUUUGAGUUUGAGACAACAUGUUAUUGGGUGUGGUAUUAAGAAGACCGACCCAUGACAUCGGUUCGUCCUUUCAUUGGGUUUAUGCAAUGCCUCUUACUUCCAGAUAAAUAAUCUAUCUUGGUAGAGUUAUGAAUUA
This is a non-coding RNA of Prunus avium (sweet cherry), 483 nucleotides long. The record is from RefSeq and is a predicted model, not a curated record. Lineage: Eukaryota; Viridiplantae; Streptophyta; Magnoliopsida; Rosales; Rosaceae.